GGCCCCUGACCGGGGUUGCGGACAGUGUCUGGUGGGUAGUUUGACUGGGGCGGUCUCCUCCCAAAGCGUAACGGAGGAGCACGAAGGUUAGCUAAUCCUGGUCGGACAUCAGGAGGUUAGUGCAAUGGCAUAAGCUAGCUUGACUGCGAGCGUGACGGCGCGAGCAGGUGCGAAAGCAGGUCAUAGUGAUCCGGUGGUUCUGAAUGGAAGGGCCAUCGCUCAACGGAUAAAAGGUACUCCGGGGAUAACAGGCUGAUACCGCCCAAGAGUUCAUAUCGACGGCGGUGUUUGGCACCUCGAUGUCGGCUCAUCACAUCCUGGGGCUGAAGUAGGUCCCAAGGGUAUGGCUGUUCGCCAUUUAAAGUGGUACGCGAGCUGGGUUUAGAACGUCGUGAGACAGUUCGGUCCCUAUCUGCCGUGGGCGCUGGAGAAUUGAGGGGGGCUGCUCCUAGUACGAGAGGACCGGAGUGGACGCAUCACUGGUGUUCGGGUUGUCAUGCCAAUGGCACUGCCCGGUAGCUAAAUGCGGAAGAGAUAAGUGCUGAAAGCAUCUAAGCACGAAACUUGCCCCGAGAUGAGUUCUCCCUGAGACUU
This 594-nucleotide ribosomal RNA is filed under the name Klebsiella pneumoniae. RNAcentral describes it as "partial 23S ribosomal RNA". It matches the Rfam family "Bacterial large subunit ribosomal RNA", at positions 2230 to 2823 of the family's 2925-position model. The record is from RNAcentral. Lineage: Bacteria; Pseudomonadati; Pseudomonadota; Gammaproteobacteria; Enterobacterales; Enterobacteriaceae.